RNAcentral lists this ribosomal RNA (395 nucleotides) under Escherichia coli. RNAcentral's name for it is "partial 23S ribosomal RNA". It matches the Rfam family "Bacterial large subunit ribosomal RNA", at positions 186 to 620 of the family's 2925-position model. The record is from RNAcentral. Lineage: Bacteria; Pseudomonadati; Pseudomonadota; Gammaproteobacteria; Enterobacterales; Enterobacteriaceae.
GGGGGAACUGAAACAUCUAAGUACCCCGAGGAAAAGAAAUCAACCGAGAUUCCCCCAGUAGCGGCGAGCGAACGGGGAGGAGCCCAGAGCCUGAAUCAGUGUGUGUGUUAGUGGAAGCGUCUGGAAAGGCGCGCGAUACAGGGUGACAGCCCCGUACACAAAAAUGCACAUGCUGUGAGCUCGAUGAGUAGGGCGGGACACGUGGUAUCCUGUCUGAAUAUGGGGGGACCAUCCUCCAAGGCUAAAUACUCCUGACUGACCGAUAGUGAACCAGUACCGUGAGGGAAAGGCGAAAAGAACCCCGGCGAGGGGAGUGAAAAAGAACCUGAAACCGUGUACGUACAAGCAGUGGGAGCCUCUUUAUGGGGUGACUGCGUACCUUUUGUAUAAUGGGU